This is a long non-coding RNA of Acanthochromis polyacanthus (spiny chromis), 2162 nucleotides long. RefSeq lists it as uncharacterized. The transcript is spliced from 7 exons. Lineage: Eukaryota; Metazoa; Chordata; Actinopteri; Pomacentridae. The record is from RefSeq and is a predicted model, not a curated record.
UCAUUUCCGAAGAAGAAGAAGAAGACAAAGAAAAAAGCAGUAGAAGAAGAAAGAGAAGAGUUUCAGAAGCUAGAUGAAAGAGUGUUUAAUGCUAAUUUUCUAUAAUGUACUUUUUUAGCCUAUUAGAUUUAGCGGUUUUUGCAUAAUUUGCGUGAAGUCGGGAUUGAAAUCCUCUAAAACUAUCAAACGGUGUGUCUUCUCAACCGUUAUAUUUUCGGUGCUAGCUAGCAGGUAUGCUAGUGGUGCUAGCUUAACAGCGAGCUUCAGACGUCAACUUUAAAAGCACCGACAUAAAAAUUAUUAUUUGUAUUGUGGUGUGACCAGAUUUUUGCCUUUGAAAGAGGAUAAUUGAGGACAUGACAACAGAAAACAUGUCUGAAUCUCCACUUGAGAUGACACAGUGGGAGGACGACUUGGACUCUCUCAAGCCAAAGAAAAAGCAGUGGUAGUUUUGACCAGACUCCCUGAUUACAAGAUCAGUGCUCUGCGCCCGCCGACGCCUGAGCAGUUCUACAGCGAAGACGAAUCCCUCAGCAGCUCUGACUCUGACACGCUGUGGGAACCAGAAGACGACUCCAGUGAUUCAGAAUUUUUAGCCCAGAAAACACCACCGGCAGGCAGCAGCAGCAGCAACAGCAACAACAAUGCUGUGCCAGAAUCCCUCCCGACAGAAUCAUCAGCUUGCGCUCAUUGCUCUCAUGAAACCACAAGGAGUCGCCCGAAUUUGCCAGAGGAAGAACUCAAAGUGGGCAUGGUUGUCUUGGCCAGAAAGAAACGCAUGAGGUGGCAUCGAGGGAAAAUAAUGGAAAUACUUCCAAAAGAACAUGGACGGUUGAAGUACAAAGUUAAUUUUGAAGAAAAGGGAAAGAGUGUAGUAUCUGGACACCACAUCGCCUUUGACAAAACGCCCAAGCUGGAGCAGCUGUACGUCGGCGCCCGUGUGGUGGUUCCAUGUCAAAACAGCAAGUUCUGGUUCCGGCCUGGUGUUUUGUGUGAGCUCCCCAGCAGAAAGAACCGCUUAAGGUUCUUGGUCUUUAUGGAUGAUCACACACCCGUCUAUGUUGGUUUACCUUCCCUUCACCUGGUGUGCAGACCAUUAAGAGAUGUCGUCGAUGACAUUCCAGACAGCCCUCACAAGUGCUUCAUGAAACAGUACCUUCAAGACUGGCCGUACCCUCGUUUAACCCACUACAGGGCUGGACAGAACCUUAAUGUAGAAUUACACGGGGAGCAGCAGAGGUGUGAAGUGCAGCAGGUUGACAGCAGCUUGAUGCAGGUCAUUUUUCAGGAUAAUCAACGCAGGGAGUGGAUCUACCGAGGCUCCAUACGACUGGAGCACAUGGCUCUUUUUUGGAGCUGAAAGACAGGGGAGAGCCCCGGGACGGCUCUGACUAAUUAGAGGGCCACACAGACAGUUUAGUCUUCUGCCAACACCAGCGCCAAUGUCAGUGCAGUUUUCAACAAAGUCGUCCAAGUUUUGUGAAAUUUGUUGCGCAGGUUUUGCACAGUCUUGCUGACAGAUAAAAGGUUUGCCAGACACCUAACCCCUAAAUUGCUCCUGAUGGGUCGUGAUUAGCACCUUGCAUGGCAGCUCCCGCCAUCAGUCUGUGAAUUGCUUGUGUUGUACGUCGCUUUGGACAAAAGCAUCUGCUAAAUGAAAUUGUAGAAUUGACAGAUGAUAAUAUCUGUCACCAUGGAGGGAUGUGCAGUUUAAUUUUUUGUUGAAAUAUAAAUGGACUAUAUCAGCCCAAAGUAUGAUUUAAUUUAUUGAGAAUGACUCAAGCAUAUCUGCACCAUAUUCCAAAUGGUUCCUUUUUUAUCCCCCGCCUCCACGAAGUGGAAAAGGGGGAUAUAGGUUUGGCCUCCGUGCCUGCGUCCGUCCGUCUGUCCGUGCGUCCGAGAUGAAGGGGACAGCUUUUCUCGGAAACUAUUACAGCUAGGAUUAUGAAAUUUAGUGUGUAGCUUCACACCAUGGACACCUUGAACAAGUUCGAAAAUGAGACCUGUGCGAUAAUAUUUAACAGAGUUAUGGCCCUUGAUCACUAUUUUGGAUAUAGACUCAUAGACAUCGCAUGUGGCGGGGGAUAUUGAUGACCAUGUCGUCUUGUUUGGUUUUGGUUUAAUUCAUUGUAUUGUUGUGUAAAAUAAAAUAUUUGAUACUA